RNAcentral lists this unclassified non-coding RNA (378 nucleotides) under Hevea brasiliensis (rubber tree). The record is from RNAcentral. Lineage: Eukaryota; Viridiplantae; Streptophyta; Magnoliopsida; Malpighiales; Euphorbiaceae.
GUUUAUAGAUUACAUUUUUUUGGCUUACAAAUUGCAAAAAAGACAAAUUCCUCUUAUUUAAACUAACUGUAUAAGUUUCCAUUUAAUAGUGUCUUUUGCUUACUUUGGAUCUAUAGAUAAAAAACAAAAAGAGUAGAAUCAUGUUGCUGGGAUAUUAAAAUAAUUAAAAGAUAUUAAAUUUUGUAUCUUAGUAUUUUUAUACAUGGUAUUGAAUGCGGAAAAGAUUAUCAUUCAAUUAGACUCAAUUUUGUUGAGGUUAUUUCUUGAUUUAAUUACUGGAGAUUAGGGAAAAAAUUAAUUAUUUUCUUUUGAUCUUCUAUAUUUCCCUGAUGUUAUUAUUGAAUAAAAUUCCAUAGAACAUCUGUACCAGUUAACAAA